UUGAACUGAAGAGUUUGAUCCUGGCUCAGAUUGAACGCUGGCGGCAUGCCUUACACAUGCAAGUCGAACGGCAGCACGGGCUUCGGCCUGGUGGCGAGUGGCGAACGGGUGAGUAAUACAUCGGAACGUGCCCUGUAGUGGGGGAUAACUAGUCGAAAGAUUAG
RNAcentral lists this ribosomal RNA (164 nucleotides) under Cupriavidus sp. GA3-3. RNAcentral's name for it is "partial 16S ribosomal RNA". It matches the Rfam family "Bacterial small subunit ribosomal RNA", at positions 1 to 162 of the family's 1533-position model. Lineage: Bacteria; Pseudomonadati; Pseudomonadota; Betaproteobacteria; Burkholderiales; Burkholderiaceae. The record is from RNAcentral.